RNAcentral lists this small RNA (957 nucleotides) under Cryptococcus neoformans H99. RNAcentral describes it as "Cryptococcus neoformans var. grubii H99 hypothetical RNA". Lineage: Eukaryota; Fungi; Basidiomycota; Tremellomycetes; Tremellales; Cryptococcaceae. The record is from RNAcentral.
CUUACGUUCGCUCUCGCUUGGUCUCCUCAUCAGGACGCUGCUAGGUGAGCUUGAGUCCAAAGAUCCACAAAUUAAAGUUAUAAUCGAUCCUCUCCUGUCGUUCAAUGUUUCAGGGUGAGAAUCUUCUUGCUGUUUCAACCUGAAGGCGUCUACAAACUCCACUAGGUAGGCGGCAUGCACCUGCUGUUAUCACACCUUUUGGAGAGCCUGAAUACUUAAAACACUGAUCUGUUACGUAGUCAAGCUAUCCAUCAGAAACAAAUGGUGUCCCGACCCUGACUAACAUAUCAGAUCAUACUCCCAAGCAACAUUUUUCGUGCCAAACAGGAUGAUGUCGGUCCACAAUGGAUCGUCAGGGCAUCUUUUACCAGGGCUUCCUAUUACUAUUAUAGUAUUACACUGACCUCGGCCAUUUACGGAAAUUGUGUGCUUCACUACAACAGUUCUUUUCAAUACUCCAUCAACAAGGCCGACAUCGGAUGCACCCAUCCUAAGCUUAUUUAUAUCUUGUAAUGGGGAUGAGCCCAAUAAUGGCCAUGCUAUGAACCAUCACUUGGGCUGUAUGCUGCAUAUCGCUUCAUGCGCUCGAAAAAAACACUCCAAUUUCUCCUCUCCUUGAAAAGAUAAAAUAUUUUGCCUCAGUGUUUCAUGUCUUGUCGUUGUUGCUGUAGCGACAUUGAUUUUUUGGACCGCCCGCUCUUGCCUGAUCAUUGUUAUUAUUAUUCAACCCUUCUAACAUUUGUCUGUUGGGUUGCUGUUCUCCGUUAAUCUGCCAUUAAGCUACUGAUGGGAGUUCAGAGUAAAGCGUGGAGUAAGAAAAGACGAAAAAAGUAGAGGAAGAAGAGAUGGCAUGCCUACCGGAAAGGCUUUGAUAUCACUGAGGAGAUUUACGCUUGCAGUCUUCUUAAGCUUCCCCGGUAAUAGUAGUAGAUAUUAUGUAACGCACCUAGAACCCCU